UAAUACAUGCAAGUCGAGCGGACAGAAGGGAGCUUGCUCCCGGAUGUUAGCGGCGGACGGGUGAGUAACACGUGGGUAACCUGCCUGUAAGACUGGGAUAACUCCGGGAAACCGGAGCUAAUACCGGUAGUUCCUUGAACCGCAUGGUUCAAGGAUGAAAGACGGUUUCGGCUGUCACUUACAGAUGGACCCGCGGCGCAUUAGCUAGUUGGUGGGGUAAUGGCUCACCAAGGCGACGAUGCGUAGCCGACCUGAGAGGUGAUCGGCCACACUGGGACUGAGACACGGCCCAGACUCCUACGGGAGGCAGCAGUAGGGAAUCUUCCGCAAUGGACGAAAGUCUGACGGAGCAACGCCGCGUGAGUGAUGAAGGUUUUCGGAUCGUAAGCUCUGUUGUUAGGGAAGAACAAGUGCGAGAGUAACUGCUCGCACCUGACGGUACCUAACCAGAAAGCCACGGCUAACUACGUGCCAGCAGCCGCGGUAAUACGUAGGUGGCAAGCGUUGUCCGGAUUAUUGGGCGUAAAGGGCUCGCAGGCGGUUUCUUAAGUCUGAUGUGAAAGCCCCCGGCUCAACCGGGGAGGGUCAUUGGAAACUGGGAAACUUGAGUGCAGAAGAGGAGAGUGGAAUUCCACGUGUACGGUGAAAUGCGUAGAGAUGUGGAGGAACACCAGUGGCGAAGGCGACUCUCUGGUCUGUACUGACGCUGAGGAGCGAAAGCGUGGGGAGCGAACAGGAUUAGAUACCCUGGUAGUCCACGCCGUAAAGAUGAGUGCUAAGUGUUAGGGGGUUUCCGCCCCUUAGUGCUGCAGCUAACGCAUUAAGCACUCCGCCUGGGGAGUACGGUCGCAAGACUGAAACUCAAAGGAAUUGACGGGGGCCCGCACAAGCGGUGAGCAUGUGGUUUAAUUCGAAGCAACGCGAAGAACCUUACCAGGUCUUGACAUCCUCUGACAACCCUAGAGAUAGGGCUUUCCCUUCGGGGACAGAGUGACAGGUGGUGCAUGGUUGUCGUCAGCUCUGUCGUGAGAUGUUGGGUUAAGUCCCGCAACGAGCGCAACCCUUGAUCUUAGUUGCCAGCAUUCAGUUGGGCACUCUAAGGUGACUGCCGGUGACAAACCGGAGGAAGGUGGGGAUGACGUCAAAUC
This 1148-nucleotide ribosomal RNA is filed under the name Bacillus safensis. RNAcentral's name for it is "bacterial SSU rRNA". It matches the Rfam family "Bacterial small subunit ribosomal RNA", at positions 49 to 1191 of the family's 1533-position model. Lineage: Bacteria; Bacillati; Bacillota; Bacilli; Caryophanales; Bacillaceae. The record is from RNAcentral.